RNAcentral lists this ribosomal RNA (218 nucleotides) under Hastigerina pelagica. RNAcentral's name for it is "partial 18S ribosomal RNA". The record is from RNAcentral. Lineage: Eukaryota; Foraminifera; Rotaliida; Hantkeninidae.
GAGUGAUCUGUCUGCUUAAUUGCGUUUCAUAUUUACGAAUGUCGCUUACGUGAUUGCUGCAGACCUCGCGUCUCUUUAUUGAGUUGCGACGCGUCUCUUCAACUCACUCGCACAUUCUCUUGAACGCAACGAGCGUGACCGCAACCUCUUGUUGUGUAUACCAAGUGUGUCGUUGCUUGCAACUCACACUCCAAUGCACGUAUUUUGGUCACAUUGUC